Paramuricea clavata is the source of this 2231-nucleotide non-coding RNA. Lineage: Eukaryota; Metazoa; Cnidaria; Anthozoa; Malacalcyonacea; Plexauridae. The record is from the annotation of a GenBank genome assembly.
GACAAGUAUGCAUGAUAGCGACAAUAAAUUUAUUAUUUAAAGAACGACGUUUCCAAGUCCGAUUUAGAUCUUUAACAAAUAACAUUUCAUAGAGUAAACACUCGAACUUUCCCCGACAUUUUCUCAACACCUCGAAGUUUUUCCUCGAUGUUCUUUGCGUCUUCGCCGUGCUGUUUAAGCAUAUGUUCCCUGACAACCGAUACUUGUGUUCAUCAAUGCGUUGAUUUAAGUGUCGGAAAGUGUAACCGACAUAAUCUGCGUCGCACAGAUCACACUUGAAGAAAUAAACAACACAUUGCUGAUUCGAUCACAAGGAGUGGUUUCGUUUCUGCUGCUGGGAAAUCUGCGGCAAUCUUCCUGCUUGUGUAGACUUGUGUUGCCUACCGAUGGUCUCACUGAGGUUACGGAGCUGUCGCCUCACCGAGUUUGCUGAGUUUUUCUGCUGAUUUUUUAUGAAAUGUUAUUUAUUAAAGAUCUUAAACCUAGUUUAAACAAAGAAUCGGACUCGAUACGCUCAAAACUAUUUGCAUAACAUUCUCUAUUAGCAUAUUUGUUCGUCUAUAUAUAGUGUUGAUUUGUUUGUUUAAUUCAUUUGUUAUUCGAUUUGCAUGUUUAAUUAUUCUAACUAUGUUAAUUAAAGGUCUUAUAGAGUGCUUAAAAUUGCAACUAUCAUAUAUGACGAAUUAGUUUGCUUGCGCAAUUGUUUGCAAACGCUAUUCUAGUAUUCAUAUUAUUUAAUUGUUUUCUGUAAUAAUUUGAAUCAAUCAAUCAAUCAAUCAAUCAAUCAAUCAAUCAAAACUUUAUUUAAAGUGAUAUGGCAAUAAAAAUAAACUUUGUCUUAUUUGAAAGAAAUUUUAAAGUUAUAUAUGAAGACCCUUUGCAACUUUUUUGUACCUUGCUUGGUUUUCGAAAUAUUUUGAACAAAAACAGUGUGCAGUCCGCCAUCUUGGUAUUAUAAUUGACCUAAUUAACUGAGUUUUUGAGACGUCACAAGCAGGGUAAACUUGUUAAAAAGUCUUCAUGUGGGACUAAAUUUCUUCGAAAAGGUUCUUAAAAUGUUGUGAGUUAAUUGAAUACUAAAAAGACUUCGGAAAAUCGAGUUUCAUAUUGAUGACAUGUGGUUUGCAAGAAAAAAAUUCGCAUAUCCAAGAUGGCGGAAUGCACGCUGCUUUGAUCAAAAUAAGUCGAUUUAUUUCAAAAACCAAGCAAGAUACGGAAUAAUUGUAAAGAAAGUUUAUUUAUCAUUUUAAAUGUUCUUUCAAACAAGGCAAACUUAAUUUAUAUUGCCAUAUCCUCCUUUUAAACACGGUGAAAUCUACAGUAUAACAUUUUACGAGAUAAUUAACAUAUAAUUACAAUUACGCUAUGACAAUUAAUAAUUUUAAGAGGGUCCUGAAUGGGGGGGGGGGGGGGUAUCCCAUUUCCCACCUGAAAUGUUGGCAAAAUCACAGUCCCAGUUGGAUUUUUAUUAGAAAUCCUAGUCCGAGUCUAAUCACAGUCCCAGUUCGAUUUUUAUUAGAAAUCUCAGUCAAUACAAAACAUAGGUCCGCUGUGGCGGGCAUCUACUGAAUAGAAUAGUAGCACUGGGAAAUAAAAGUCAUUGAGCAGAUAAAAGCAUAGAUGUGCACCCUAGCUGACCUUUGGAAUCGAUUUCUGGCAUUUCCAGAGUCAUAACACAACUAGCACAACGUGGAAACGUCGCAUUGUUGACGGGAUGGCUAGUUUAUGUUGUUAGCUCACAGUCGGGCUAGAAAUCGGAAAUUUUUAUAUACCGUGAUAAAACUAAAAGAUACAAAUUUGAAGAUACAAUCUCGAAAAUAUAAACACUCCACACAGUAGUUAUUGAUAAUGAUUGGAACAAGAAUAUUGCAAUGAAGAUACGGGGCCGAAGUUAUAUUUUUGUUCAGACAUUGCGUAAUUUGAUAAUCGAUCUCGCUUGACUUUCAAAGGCCAUAAAUCGCCACAAUGUUGAUAAUGACUUAAACUAUUGUGAGGAAUUAGUUGAUAUUGUUUUCACUGAAUCGAAUCAUGCGCUGAACCUAUCACUGAACCGAAGAUAUGAACGUACAAAGUCGUCGAGAAAGAGUUCAGACAAUUGUGUAAUUUGAUAACAUGCGAUCUCCCUUGACUUUCAAAGUUGUUACCAGAGAAGUACCAGGCGGAAAACGAAUUCUAAUAAUAAAUAUUAAAGCCCAGCAAAGUGCUUUUAAAAGAGCCAUAAACCAUUAAAU